This 603-nucleotide long non-coding RNA is filed under the name Gossypium raimondii (Peruvian cotton). RNAcentral describes it as "long non-coding RNA (GRAI_LNC004308)". Lineage: Eukaryota; Viridiplantae; Streptophyta; Magnoliopsida; Malvales; Malvaceae. The record is from RNAcentral.
UUUUAACAAUUUUCACUUAAAAAAUUAAAAAAGAUUUAUCAACUAAAUUUGAUCGAAAAUAUACCAAAAACAAAAACACCGAAAAUCUAAUUAAUAAUUUUCAUCUUGUCUUAUUCUUUUAAAAUUAACACUCACUGUCACAAAUAAAAAUAAAACUACAACAAAAAAUAAAAAACCAAAUUAUAUAAUAUGUAAAUAUUAAAUAUUAAUUGUAAUAGCUCAUUUUUGCCCGGGCCCCACACACUCAAAUCAAACAAAAAAAUAAAACCAAAGCCUAAAAAAUAAUAAUAAUCAAAAGUCCAUUAUAAACCUCAGCCCAAUAAAGACCCAAACUUAACAACAACCCAAAAUAAAAAUCCAAACCCAACAGCCCAAAAACUAAACCCAACAGCCCAAAAUAUAACCAAACCCUAGCCCAACUAAACCCAAAACCAACAGCAAAAAAAAAAAAGAUAACAGAAAAAGAAAAAAGAAAACCCUAGGUGUGCCGCACCUAGGUCUGCCCCUAGUCGCUCCUCCCACGCACGCCACCACCGCCGCACGCCAUUGUCACGCUCGUCUGACACUUGCAAGAAUUGAAUGCAACAACAGGAAAGGCACGCC